Molecule: ribosomal RNA, 468 nt
Filed under: uncultured bacterium
Lineage: Bacteria
Description: partial 16S ribosomal RNA
Rfam family: Bacterial small subunit ribosomal RNA
Source: RNAcentral
GACGAACGCUGGCGGCGUGCUUAACACAUGCAAGUCGAACGGAAAGGCCCUGCUUUUGUGGGGUGCUCGAGUGGCGAACGGGUGAGUAACACGUGAGUAACCUGCCCUUGACUUUGGGAUAACUUCAGGAAACUGGGGCUAAUACCGGAUAGGAGCUCCUGCUGCAUGGUGGGGGUUGGAAAGUUUCGGCGGUUGGGGAUGGACUCGCGGCUUAUCAGCUUGUUGGUGGGGUAGUGGCUUACCAAGGCUUUGACGGGUAGCCGGCCUGAGAGGGUGACCGGCCACAUUGGGACUGAGGUACGGCCCAGACUGCUACGGGAGGCAGCAGGGGGGAAUAUUGCACAAUGGGCGGAAGCCUGAUGCAGCAACGCCGCGUGCUGGAUGACGGCCUUCGGGUUGUAAACCGCUUUCGCCUGGGACGAAGCGUGAGUGACGGUAAUGGGUAAAGAAGCACCGGCUAACUACGUG